This 253-nucleotide ribosomal RNA is filed under the name uncultured bacterium. Its description in RNAcentral is "partial 16S ribosomal RNA". It matches the Rfam family "Bacterial small subunit ribosomal RNA", at positions 524 to 776 of the family's 1533-position model. The record is from RNAcentral.
AACGAAGGGGGCUAGCGUUGUUCGGAUUUACUGGGCGUAAAGCGCGUGUAGGCGGGUCGCUAAGUUGGGGGUGAAAUCCCGAGGCUCAACCUCGGAACUGCCUUCAAAACUGGCGACCUGGAGCAAGAUAGAGGCGAGUGGAAUUGCGAGUGUAGAGGUGAAAUUCGUAGAUAUUCGCAGGAACACCAGUGGCGAAGGCGACUCGCUGGAUCUUUGCUGACGCUGAGACGCGAAAGCGUGGGGAGCACACAGG